UUCUGGGAAGAGGGAAUCGUUACGUGCAGGAAGAGGGAGCCUCCAUCUUAGGUGCUCGACGCGUCGCGGCGGCGGCGGCGGGAUGGCGGCUGAUAGCCGGGAGGAAAAAGGUGAGUUAAAUUUGUUCAUGGAAGGAUCCAACACACCCCAGAGUCAACAAAAGAUGAGUUGCAGGAGAGCCCAGUUGGGAGUGUCUGUAACGAAAAGGACUCAUUUGGACCUUCCCCCUUCAGCAGUGAUGAACUAUGGUGAACUGAAUGUUCUGGAUGACAUUUUGACUGAUGCUCCUGACCAAGAUGAUGAGUUGUAUAACCCUGACAGCGAGCAAGAUAAAAGUGAGAAAAAGGGAUCAAAAAGAAAAACUGACAGGAUGGAAAACGCUGAAAGCAAGAGACAAAAACCUUCUGUGCAUUCAUCGAGGCAGAUGAUGCCAAAGCCUCCUAGUUCAUCAGUUAGCAAUAACAAGAGAAUAGUGAGUACAAAAGGAAAACCAGUAUCAGAAUACAAGAAUGAGGAGUAUCAGAGGUCGGAUAGAAACAAGCGCCCAGAUGGUGAUCGAAAGACACGCAUGUCCAGCAGUUCCAGGGAACCUUAUAAAGGACAACCAGAGAAAACUUGCAUGAGGAAGAGGGAUAUUGACAGAAGGGCAAAGUCUUCUACACCAGAUGGCUCAGAGAGAAUCAGGCAUGAUGUGGAUAGAAGACCAAGCAGAUCCAGCCAUUCUUCUAAAGAAGAGGUGAACUCUGAGGAAUAUUGUUCAGAUCAUGAGACUGGCAGUAGUGGUUCCUCUGAACAAGGGAAUACAGAGAAUGAGGAGGAAGGAAUGGAAGAAGAGGAAGAUGAUGAAGGAGAGGAGGAUGAAGAGGGGGAAGAAGAUGGGGAGGAGGAUGAAGAAGAGUAUGAACAAGAUGAGAGAGAUCAGAAGGAAGGAAAUGAUUAUGACACACGAAGUGAAGCCAGUGAUUCUGAUUCUGAAUCCGCCUCUUUCACAGAUGGGUCAGUCAGAUCUGGGUCUGGUUCAGAUGCAUCAGAUGAAAAAAAGAAGGAGAGGAAGCGAGCUAGAGGUAUCUCUCCAAUUGUUUUUGACAGAAGUGGAAGUUCUGCAUCAGAAUCGUAUGCAGGUUCAGAAAAGAAGCAUGAGAAAUUAUCAUCUUCCGUUCGUGCUGUCCAAAAAGACCAAACAAGUAAACUUAAAUACAUUCUCCAAGAUGCAAGAUUCUUUCUCAUCAAGAGUAAUAACCAUGAAAACGUAUCACUUGCUAAAGCAAAGGGAGUAUGGUCGACACUUCCAGUGAAUGAAAAGAAGCUUAAUGCUGCAUUUAGAUCAGCGAGGAGUGUUAUUUUGAUAUUUUCUGUAAGAGAGAGUGGCAAAUUCCAAGGAUUUGCAAGACUGUCUUCAGAGUCCCAUCAUGGAGGAUCACCUAUACACUGGGUGCUGCCUGCAGGAAUGAAUGCAAAAAUGUUGGGAGGUGUCUUUAAAAUUGACUGGAUUUGCAGGCGUGAAUUGCCGUUCACUAAGUCUGCUCACCUGACCAAUCCUUGGAACGAACAUAAGCCAGUAAAGAUUGGACGCGAUGGACAGGAAAUUGAGCCGGAAUGUGGAACCCAACUUUGUCUUCUCUUCCCUCCUGAUGAAAGUAUUGACUUGUAUCAAGUCAUUCAUAAAAUGAGGCACAAGAGAAGAAUGCACUCACAACCCCGAUCAAGAGGACGGCCAUCCCGUCGAGACCCUGUUCGGGACGUGGGAAGGGUAUAUAAAGGAUCCCAGAUAUCCUGAAGUAGACAGGUAAGGUGUGUUCAUAUUAUUCAUUUUAUGCCCUGGUAACUUGUCUGUAUGGAUAAAUUGGAUUUAGUUCUACAAAUUUUUAUUCCCAACAGACGAUUUUCAGGAGUUCGACGAGAUGUAUUUUUAAAUGGGUCCUACAACGAUUACGUGAGGGAAUUCCACAACAUGGGACCACCACCACCAUGGCAAGGAAUGCCACCAUAUCCAGGUAUGGAGCAGCCACCACACCACCCUUACUAUCAGCACCAUGCACCUCCACCUCAAGCUCACCCUCCAUACUCAGGACAUCAUCCUGUACCACAUGAAGCAAGAUACAGAGACAAACGAGUACACGACUAUGACAUGAGAGUAGACGACUUUCUUCGCCGCACACAAGCAGUUGUCAGCGGUCGGAGAAGCAGGCCUCGGGAGAGGGACCGAGAGCGGGAACGGGACCGUCCUAGAGAUAACAGAAGAGACAGAGAACGUGACAGAGGUCGUGAUCGGGAAAGGGAGAGAGAGAGGAUUUGUGACCGGGACAGAGACAGAGGUGAAAGAGGUAGAUACCGAAGAUAAUCUAUCUGGAACCAGUGCUCACUUGAAACAAAAAAAGCUUGUAUUUUUUUGUGUGUUUACAAGUAGUACAUUUUAUUUUCAGCUGUCUACUUAAAGUUCGUUGUGUAGAAGGAUUUAUAAUGACCCUCUCUAUUCCAAGCAUGCAGUGAACUAUGAACUGGAAAAACUCAAAUCGGCCAAAAAUAAAAUGGCGCAAAGCUGACACUCAACUUCGCGUUUCUAUUGGAGCAGAAUGGGAAACAGCUAAGAAUGUAGAUACUGAUUAAUUCUCAAUAAGUGUUCAUCUACUUAGUGACUUCAUUCUAGGUUUUUGAAUACUGAUGGAUAACUGCCAUAUUUUUUUUUGCUUUGAUGUUUUCUUCCUGUAGUUUCACAUGGUUCAGUGGGAGAAUGCUGCUAUCAAGUAUGCAAAUAUUGAAGUAUGAUUUAUUUGACUGUAUGGCAGUGUUGUAGCAGCCUUUUUUUUUUUUUUUUUUUGUUCUCCCUCCCCUUUUUAAAGCCUAUCUGUAAAGUCAAGUGUUUUUUCAGUCUUCAGUAAUGAAAGCAAUAUUAAGAAGACACUAUUGAUACCUAAUUUUUAACCUUUUUUAAAAAUCUUCCCGUGUUCAGUAACAUUUUGGUCAAUUCUCUUGUCUAGUCUCUUUCCAAAAAUGUACACAUUGCUUGGAAUGUUCACAACCUGCGUGUGUGGAACCAGAGAAUAUUGCUGUAUUCUACAUUGCUACCUUUUUUUUUUUUUUUUUUAUAAAAAUAAAUUGGUAACUAUUGAAAUGA
Molecule: RNA transcript, 3115 nt
Organism: Haliaeetus leucocephalus (bald eagle)
Lineage: Eukaryota; Metazoa; Chordata; Aves; Accipitriformes; Accipitridae
Gene: YTHDC1
Gene name: YTH domain containing 1
Exons: 16
Source: RefSeq, a predicted model, not a curated record